RNAcentral lists this ribosomal RNA (566 nucleotides) under uncultured Borrelia sp. RNAcentral's name for it is "bacterial SSU rRNA". It matches the Rfam family "Bacterial small subunit ribosomal RNA", at positions 752 to 1322 of the family's 1533-position model. The record is from RNAcentral. Lineage: Bacteria; Pseudomonadati; Spirochaetota; Spirochaetia; Spirochaetales; Borreliaceae.
CACGAAAGCGUAGGGAGCAAACAGGAUUAGAUACCCUGGUAGUCUACGCUGUAAACGAUGCACACUUGGUGUUAACUAAAAGUUAGUACCGAAGCUAACGUGUUAAGUGUGCCGCCUGGGGAGUAUGCUCGCAAGAAUGAAACUCAAAGGAAUUGACGGGGGCCCGCACAAGCGGUGGAGCAUGUGGUUUAAUUCGAUGAUACGCGAGGAACCUUACCAGGGCUUGACAUAUAUAGGAUAUAGUUAGAGAUAAUUAUUCCCCGUUUGGGGUCUAUAUACAGGUGCUGCAUGGUUGUCGUCAGCUCGUGCUGUGAGGUGUUGGGUUAAGUCCCGCAACGAGCGCAACCCUUGUUGUCUGUUACCAGCAUGUAAUGGUGGGGACUCAGAUAAGACUGCCGGUGAUAAGUCGGAGGAAGGUGAGGAUGACGUCAAAUCAUCAUGGCCCUUAUGUCCUGGGCUACACACGUGCUACAAUGGCCUGUACAAAGCGAGGCGAAACAGUGAUGUGAAGCAAAACGCAUAAAGCAGGUCUCAGUCCGGAUUGAAGUCUGAAACUCGACUUCAUG